Molecule: transfer RNA, 68 nt
Filed under: Ciccaba nigrolineata
Lineage: Eukaryota; Metazoa; Chordata; Aves; Strigiformes; Strigidae
Description: tRNA-Phe
Source: RNAcentral
GUCCCUGUAGCUUAUAAACAAAGCAUGGCACUGAAGAUGCCAAGAUGGUCCCUACAUACCCGAGGACA